GGCCUCUUGAGAUUGCGUCUAGAGUGGCUAGAAUUCUGCCAACUUCAGAAACAGGAGGAGAGCAAGUUGAGCAGAGGUACCCAUUGCAUUCCCAGUUUGCUCAGUAGCUGGCGAUUGGAAGACACUCUGCAGCAUCA
Peromyscus maniculatus bairdii (prairie deer mouse) is the source of this 137-nucleotide small nucleolar RNA. NCBI's taxonomy places the organism in Eukaryota, Metazoa, Chordata, Mammalia, Rodentia, Cricetidae. The record is from Ensembl.